RNAcentral lists this transfer RNA (79 nucleotides) under Mycoplasma mycoides subsp. capri str. GM12. RNAcentral describes it as "tRNA-Arg". It matches the Rfam family "tRNA". Rfam says of the family: Transfer RNA (tRNA) molecules are approximately 80 nucleotides in length. Their secondary structure includes four short double-helical elements and three loops (D, anti-codon, and T loops). Lineage: Bacteria; Bacillati; Mycoplasmatota; Mollicutes; Mycoplasmatales; Mycoplasmataceae. The record is from RNAcentral.
UGCGCCCGUAGAUCAAUUGGAUAGAUCGCUUGACUACGGAUCAAAAGGUUGGGGGUUCGAGUCCCUCCGGGCGCACCAU